This 400-nucleotide unclassified non-coding RNA is filed under the name fungal sp. Its description in RNAcentral is "partial internal transcribed spacer region". The stretch from base 1 to 46 matches the Rfam family "Eukaryotic small subunit ribosomal RNA", at positions 1786 to 1831 of the family's 1831-position model. The record is from RNAcentral. Lineage: Eukaryota; Fungi.
AAGUCGUAACAAGGUUUCCGUAGGUGAACCUGCGGAAGGAUCAUUAACACGUAUCCACGUAUCUACCUCUUGCGAACUUGUUUUUUGUCUGCAGUUGUGUCUUUGUAUAACUGAGGGAGCAGAUGGCCAUGUCGUUCUGUCUUUUGGAUAGAAUGUUCUGCUUGCCUGUCCACCGUUGUUGAGUGCUAGUGUAUCGAGAUUGACCCACUACCCGUGAGGCAAUCCUAUUAGCCAAACUCCACGGAUCGGGUACAAGAUAUAGCUCGAAUCAUGGUGGUAUUCACCAUUAACCCUUUUUCUUUUUAAUUGUCUUAGUGAGUGUCCUGGUGUAGCUUUUUUGCGAGCUAGGCCUCCCCAAAAUUAACACUAUACAACUCUUAGCAACGGAUAUCUCGGUUCU